This 290-nucleotide unclassified non-coding RNA is filed under the name uncultured fungus. RNAcentral's name for it is "partial contains small subunit ribosomal RNA, internal transcribed spacer 1, and 5.8S ribosomal RNA". The stretch from base 1 to 73 matches the Rfam family "Eukaryotic small subunit ribosomal RNA", at positions 1759 to 1831 of the family's 1831-position model. Lineage: Eukaryota; Fungi. The record is from RNAcentral.
GCAAACUUGGUCAUUUAGAGGAAGUAAAAGUCGUAACAAGGUCUCCGUUGGUGAACCAGCGGAGGGAUCAUUAUCGAGUUUCUAUACUCCAAACCUUUGUGAACAUACCCAUCGUUGCUUCGGCGGCUUCGUCCCGGGCGCACCCCUAGCGGGCGUGUGACCCGGACCCAGGCGUCCGCCGGAGACUACAAACUCUUGUUUCUUAUAGUUAUCUUCUGAGUGGCAUAAGCAAAUAAAUUAAAACUUUCAACAACGGAUCUCUUGGUUCUGGCAUCGAUGAAGAACGCAGC